Neodidymelliopsis sp. IMI 364377 is the source of this 90-nucleotide non-coding RNA. The record is from the annotation of a GenBank genome assembly. NCBI's taxonomy places the organism in Eukaryota, Fungi, Ascomycota, Dothideomycetes, Pleosporales, Didymellaceae.
GCCCGGCUGGCACAAUCGGUAGCGCGUGAGACUCUUAAUCUCAAGGUUGUGGGUUCGGUAAGUGCUUGGAUCUGCCCUUUGUUCGAAUCU